This 497-nucleotide ribosomal RNA is filed under the name uncultured bacterium. RNAcentral describes it as "partial 16S ribosomal RNA". It matches the Rfam family "Bacterial small subunit ribosomal RNA", at positions 28 to 507 of the family's 1533-position model. The record is from RNAcentral.
GAUGAACGCUGGCGGCGUGCCUAAUACAUGCAAGUCGAGCGAACAGACGAGGAGCUUGCUCCUCUGACGUUAGCGGCGGACGGGUGAGUAACACGUGGAUAACCUACCUAUAAGACUGGGAUAACUUCGGGAAACCGGAGCUAAUACCGGAUAAUAUAUUGAACCGCAUGGUUCAAUAGUGAAAGACGGUUUUGCUUUCACUUAUAGAUGGAUCCGCGCCGCAUUAGCUAUUUGGUAAGGUAACGGCUUACCAAGGCAACGAUGCGUAGCCGACCUGAGAGGGUGAUCGGCCACACUGGAACUGAGACACGGUCCAGACUCCUACGGGAGGCAGCAGUAGGGAAUCUUACGCAAUGGGCGAAAGCCUGACGGAGCAACGCCGCGUGAGUGAUGAAGGUCUUCGGAUCGUAAAACUCUGUUAUUAGGGAAGAACAAAUGUGUAAGUAACUAUGCACGUCUUGACGGUACCUAAUCAGAAAGCCACGGCUAACUACGUG